UUUCCGUAGGUGAACCUGCGGAAGGAUCAUUAAAGAAUUUGCCCCGUCCUCUCGAGGAUGGGUCCUCUUCUAAACCGUGUAUACAUACCUUCGUUGCUUUGGCGGGCCGCCGUCUCGGCGUUGGCUUCGGCUGACUGUGCCCGCCAGAGAACCCCAACUCUUCUGUUUAGUAUUGUCUGAGUACUAUAUAAUAGUUAAAACUUUCAACAACGGAUCUCUUGGUUCUG
RNAcentral lists this unclassified non-coding RNA (227 nucleotides) under plant metagenome. Its description in RNAcentral is "partial contains small subunit ribosomal RNA, internal transcribed spacer 1, and 5.8S ribosomal RNA". The record is from RNAcentral.